This is a long non-coding RNA of Sphaerodactylus townsendi, 151 nucleotides long. RefSeq lists it as uncharacterized. Lineage: Eukaryota; Metazoa; Chordata; Lepidosauria; Squamata; Sphaerodactylidae. The record is from RefSeq and is a predicted model, not a curated record. The transcript is spliced from 3 exons.
AAUGAGAUAAUAUUAAAACUGGCUAGAAAUUUCAUUAAAUCAGAAUCACCUGUGUGGCGGCACCACCCUGGUAUGUUCCAGGAAAGUAUCGAUAGUGUAGGACAUUUCUGGCGUCAGGCUGUACCGUCCAGUGGUUAACUCAAUACCUUCA